CAUGCAUUGAUAAAGGAUUUUUUUCAAGAUCCAUAAAUUAUUUUUCUUUUAAUUUCGGAUAUGAAAUGUAAAAUGCAUUAAAGAAAUAAAUUAUCAGUUAAAAAACGGGGGUCACCGAUCUUUUUAGGGAAUUGUGGCAUUAAAACGUGAAAUGCAAGUAAAUAAAUAUACUACAGACACAGAACCCUAGCUACACUUUUGUAUGCCUUUUUUGAAAACAUUGAAUUUAACGUAAUUCUUUGC
This is a non-coding RNA of Paramuricea clavata, 243 nucleotides long. The record is from the annotation of a GenBank genome assembly. Lineage: Eukaryota; Metazoa; Cnidaria; Anthozoa; Malacalcyonacea; Plexauridae.